RNAcentral lists this unclassified non-coding RNA (406 nucleotides) under Hevea brasiliensis (rubber tree). The record is from RNAcentral. Lineage: Eukaryota; Viridiplantae; Streptophyta; Magnoliopsida; Malpighiales; Euphorbiaceae.
GGCGCAUCAACACACAGUCACCAGCUACAAUAAGAAGAAAACAACAAAAUGAACCCAAAAGUGAAUGAUCAAAACAUACAAACCAUACAAUAUUUUCCGCACCAAAUGGGCAGUUCUAAAAAAUCAUAAAAACGAUAAUUUAGGGUUUGAAAAUAGGCAAUAUAAUUACUAAUUAGCAACUUCCACGGCCUUCAGAGACCAAAACUGGAAAACAAAUGACCCAACAUUAAAAACGAAUGAAAAGAAGAAAAAAAUUGAAUUUUUUAAACAAAAUAAUGGGUUUAAUCUCAAAAUGAAGAAGGAAAGAUUUUGAGAAUCUGGGUUUUAAAAGGCAAAUAAUUAAGAUGAGAAAUUCAUGGGUUCCCAAAGCCAAAAAAACGAAUAAUGGAGAUUACGCCUAGAGAGA